This 23-nucleotide non-coding RNA is filed under the name Arabidopsis thaliana (thale cress). The record is from RNAcentral. Lineage: Eukaryota; Viridiplantae; Streptophyta; Magnoliopsida; Brassicales; Brassicaceae.
AGCUUUGAUGGUUUAGCCAAAGU